Non-coding RNA from Podarcis lilfordi (Lilford's wall lizard), 1507 nucleotides. The record is from the annotation of a GenBank genome assembly. NCBI's taxonomy places the organism in Eukaryota, Metazoa, Chordata, Lepidosauria, Squamata, Lacertidae.
AUUUUACGGGCAGCGGAGCGUCUCCUGCCCGAGUACGCCAGUUAGGCUUUGAAAGGGGCUGGCCUAGAUAGUAUUAUGCAAACUACCUGCAAAUUGCCUUCAAAAGUGUCACGAGAUUUAUUCUAAAAUUGAGGAAACGCUGCUUGAAAGGCCUGGGAGAGCCGCUGCCAGCCAGCCAGCCAAUGAGGCAGAAGGGCCAAUGGUCUGGUUUGUGUAUAGCUGCUUCCUGUGUAACUCUCUGCUACAAGAUGAGCUGACAACGAACACUACCUUGAACGGAGAGGUCUCUCAGGCUUCUCAUCCUGUAAUAUGGAGACCCCAGGUGCAUAAGAAGUAUAUCACUGCAUACUGAAAAUGGGACCCACUGACUGGUGUUCAUCCCUGAUGGUGCUGCAAAUGAGUUUAUUGGAGGUGGUCUAAUUAGCAAGUGCAGCUGGCAGGAUAGUAGACGAGUGUGGUGCUUGAUCGGAUCCAGCAAGGAAAUUGGCAUGUGUUUUAUUAAAAGGGGAUUGGACCGACUGAUGGAAGUGAAGAGGUUUAACGAUGCGUAUUAGGAACCCCAGCUCCCAAAGAGCAUAACUAUAAAUAGUGUAAGAGCAGCUCUGCUGCUGUAGCCCACACACCACCUAGUCCUGUAUGCCAGUAACAGCCCAACCAAGUGAGAGCAACCAACUCCUUCACUCCAUUUACUAAACUUUUCUCUAAAUCAGUCAUUCCAUCCAUCAUUUUGGGUACCCUUUUCUAACAAUGUAAUAUUUUUUCCAUAGAUUGGUGUUGCAGCAUUAUGAUAUCAACAGUUUUCUUUUCAGUUUCUUUCCCAAUGAUCCCUAGCAUGGAAGUUGUCCUUUUUCACAGCUACCACAUGCUAUGUCAACAACUUCAUUGAGCUAUCCACUGCCACCCUGAAGGUCUCAUUCCUGGCAACUCACCAUCAGAUUCACAGACCACGAGGUAUAUGUAAAAUUAAGGUAUUUUGUCCCAACAUACAUCAAUUCAUAGUUUAGGGUGAACUACAUUUUCCUCAUUAUCUCCAGAGAGAAAAGAGCAGGCAGCUGUGGGAGGAAGCUCAAGCCUGCAUCUAGCCUCAAAGAUUAUUCCUCCCUCUGUGGUAGAAGAAGGUGCCCCAAGAAAGAUGAAGGAGCAGGAAGCAAGCUCCCUGUGGCUUGCAGCACAGUUCCAAUGCAUAAUUGCUCUUGCAAAGUCAAGAACCAAGGAGGUGAAGUGACGGGGUGGUAGGAAGCUAAUUGCAGCAGAGGAGAUGGGAGGAACCAGCUCAGAUAACAGCCAUCUGCCUGCAGGCCCAGCUUCUACUACCACCCACAACUAUACCAGAAUUCUAAUCCUGAGCAAGAUUAGCCACAGAACUGGGCCUUUUCUAUGAGGCAGCUCCUCUUGGCUCUCAAAGAAAUACCAAAGAAUUGGGAAGGCGGGAGGGAGAGAGAGGCAGUUGUUCAGAAAGGAAGCAAGAGUAUACAUACAUAUACAGCAAGACCCAUAGUUCUCUUCA